RNAcentral lists this long non-coding RNA (399 nucleotides) under Hordeum vulgare. RNAcentral's name for it is "long non-coding RNA (HVUL_LNC005138)". The record is from RNAcentral. Lineage: Eukaryota; Viridiplantae; Streptophyta; Magnoliopsida; Poales; Poaceae.
GAGCAGCGGCAGCAGGAUCACAAAAAACGCCUCGAGGAGCGAGCAGCCGUCGGCCGGCAUGCUGCUGGAUAUCGUCGCCAUAUUUUACGGUGGAGGAGGUUCCGUGAGGAUUGAUGUCUGGCGGUACGUCGAUGUUGGUCGCCUUUAUGAGAGCGAAGGAAUUCCGACAGCACGCGCCACGAUCGACCGUCCCGGUCAGUUACUACUAAAGUUAGUAGCUCGGACUUUCUGUAUUUUUAUCAUGGGAGAAUUCGGGAAUAAAGCGUUCCUUUGCGUCUACUAGUACGAUCUAGAUCUAUUUCCAUAAGAAAACUACUAGGGGAACUUGUAUGGGAGUGGGACACGAGUUUAGUAUAUUGAGGAGUAUUUAACAAAAACUAUCAUAAUUCAUGAAACCAU